Molecule: long non-coding RNA, 1491 nt
Organism: Cicer arietinum (chickpea)
Lineage: Eukaryota; Viridiplantae; Streptophyta; Magnoliopsida; Fabales; Fabaceae
Source: RefSeq, a predicted model, not a curated record
GACAGUCCAAAUUAGAUCCCCAACUACUAACAACACCAACCCUCUCUUCUUAAACCCUCUUACACUCUCUUAUCUAGGGUUCAAAACUGCAUUCUCUCACUACCGCCGUUGAUGUGCAAUCUGCCUUGCCUGGAUGCUUGACGCAGCUUCUGUGCUGUGGAACCUUUGCGGAUCUAAUGCCACGGAGAUGCUCGAUCAUCACUUUCAAUUCUUCACCAUCUAUCAACUGUGAUUUCUCUGAUUAAAUUACAAUAGAUAUGUGUAUAUCAUGACAAUGGUAGUAAAGAUUUGCUUUGAUUGAUUUGAUUAUCACUUGCAAAGGAAGAGGCCAAUGCAAGGGAUAAUUAAAGAUCAAAUCUCACUAUACAUUUUUAUCGGAGUUGGCUACUAGGUGGGAUGGACGUAGUGGGAGAUUUAGGAUUAGAGGUAGGAUAGUUAAUUUUACUCCUAGUGACGUAUGUUUAGCUAUAGGACUACCAAUAGUAGGUGAGUCAUUUUAAAGAAUAUGAAAAUGAGGAAUGUGAUACAUUGUUGUUGUUUAGAGGAAAAGAAGUAACUUGUGAAAUGAUUGAUGUGUUGCUUCACAUGUAUCGUAAUCACAGAGUCAAUUUUGUUCUAUUUUCCCCAAUCACAAUAAAUAGUUGUUAGAUUAAAGAAUAUGAAAACGAGGAAUGUGAUACAUUGCUGCAUAGCUACAAUUAGGGAAAACGAGGAAUGUGAUACAUUGCUGCAUAGCUACAAUUAGGGUGUUCUGGUGUAUAAUGUUUUAAUUGAAAGUUUAAGUAGAAUUGAAAUUGUGUUGAAAGAGGGGAAGGCAGAUUCGCAAACACACAUAACAGGUUGUGCAACUGUCCUACAGAUAAUUGAAGAGUUAACUGCCACAAAUGAAUAACUUGAAUUUGACAUGGUAAAUGAAGCAUUGCAUGAACAAGAAAAUCAAACUGUACGUUAUGUUGAUUAUCAACGAUUGGUGGCGGAGAACAGACAGUCCCAAGAGAAGAUUUCAAUUCUUGAGGGUGAGGUAAAAUUGUUGAAAGAAGAAUUGUGUAAACUUCAAUCAAUGCAUGAAUCCGAUCAUGAAUUUUUGAUGAUGAGGUGAGAAUUAGUACCCCUUUUGAGAAUGUUAAGGAUGAAGUCGCAUGUGAGCCUAACGUUGAGAAUGAAGUCGCAUGUGAGCCUAACGUGAACAGUUCAGCAAAAGCAACGUCAAACAUAAUUACGAGAAUGAAAGAUAAACCAAGGAAGCGAGUUAAAAGUGUAGUCAAUCAAAGUCCGUUUGUGAAUCCGGAUGAAAAAAAGAAGAAGAAGAAAUAAGUGUUAUGGGCAUAUUUUGAGUUUGUGGAGGGUUCUCUAUAGCGAUGUAGUUGGUGGGGUUUGAACUGCACUUUUUGCUUGUAUUUUUCCUUCUUUAUGCUUGUAUGAACAAAUAUGAAUGAACUUUAUCUCUUUCUUUAUGAUUAAGUAAGGACUUAGAUUUGGUUGAUUAAGUUC